UACGGGGGGAGCAAGCGUUGUUCGGAUUUACUGGGCGUAAAGGGCGCGUAGGCGGCCAGUGCAAGUCAGUUGUGAAAUCUCCGAGCUUAACUCGGAAAGGUCAACUGAUACUGCUCGGCUAGAGUGCGGAAGGGGCAACUGGAAUUCUUGGUGUAGCGGUGAAAUGCGUAGAUAUCAAGAGGAACACCUGCGGCGAAGGCGGCUUUCUGGUCUGUAACUGACGCUGAGGCGCGAAAGCGUGGGGAGCAAACAGG
This 254-nucleotide ribosomal RNA is filed under the name uncultured bacterium. Its description in RNAcentral is "partial 16S ribosomal RNA". It matches the Rfam family "Bacterial small subunit ribosomal RNA", at positions 524 to 776 of the family's 1533-position model. The record is from RNAcentral.